CUGUGGGCGUGGCAAAACCCUGGCAUAUUUGCUGCCUAUGCUUUGGGUUGCUGACCACCCAGCUUCCUUUUACUCGACCAAAUAAAAGCCGAUUCUUCCUAAGAGCCUCCUCCUGAAUUCUUGGCAUUAGAAGAGGCACGGAAAACUGGUGAGUAAGAAUCAGCCUAGCAGCUUCAUCCUACACUGCAUGAUCAGGUAAUUCAUCCUACCAAGGCUCAAGAAUCCCUACAGAGAUGAUCAACAGGAUCUCAACUCAGCCACUCUCUGCACUGUGAGGCAAAGCCAAUCUUUUGGAGAUCUCUUGGGAUAUUGGCACUGGGUUUUCACAGAGGCUGAAUACAGUUAUUAUGGAACACACGUACCGGGAAGAUAUGAUAUUGCCAUGGCUGCUGCU
Python bivittatus (Burmese python) is the source of this 394-nucleotide non-coding RNA. The record is from RefSeq and is a predicted model, not a curated record. NCBI's taxonomy places the organism in Eukaryota, Metazoa, Chordata, Lepidosauria, Squamata, Pythonidae.